RNAcentral lists this transfer RNA (72 nucleotides) under Rhizoctonia solani AG-8 WAC10335. RNAcentral describes it as "tRNA-Gly (CCC) (tRNA-Gly-CCC-1-1, tRNA-Gly-CCC-1-2)". It matches the Rfam family "tRNA". From Rfam's summary of the family: Transfer RNA (tRNA) molecules are approximately 80 nucleotides in length. Their secondary structure includes four short double-helical elements and three loops (D, anti-codon, and T loops). Lineage: Eukaryota; Fungi; Basidiomycota; Agaricomycetes; Cantharellales; Ceratobasidiaceae. The record is from RNAcentral.
GCGUGAGUAGUAUAAUGGUUAUUAUCUCGGUUUCCCAUACCGAGGACCCGAGUUCGAUUCUCGGCUCACGCA